GUAUAAACUGAAUUAGUGCAUUAUUAAAUAAUAAAGUAUAAUUGUGUUCUAUUAUAUCAUAUACAGAGUGAUCAGUAUAUCAUAAACCACUCAAUUACUCUUAAAAUAAAUGGAAUAUUGAAAAAAAAAAAUUUCAAUUUCUUUUAGUUAUAUACAAUUUUUGAUUUAACAGCUACUAAUUACUUUUUAGAAUCAUCCAUCAUAACUUUAAGGGGUGUUAACUUUAUAUCUUUAUAUGGUUACAUACAUAUUUAAAUAACUUAGAAAAUAGAAAAUUAUGUAAUUAUGAAAAUGAUUAGUCGAUAUUAACUUUUGGUCCUAUACUUUGGAUGUUACUUUCAUUUGUAUACCUAGGCAGGACGAAGAGUAUCCAGCAAAGAGUGUCACCGACAAAACUAUUUACAGAUAAUAAAUAUAUACAUAUAUAUAUAAUCAGUACAUAAAUUUAACACUCACUCAAUCCUACCUAAUGACAUGUCUUCAUGCAUCUUACAAAACAAAUGAAAACAGCGAUAAUUAAACUUAUUCUAAAUAAGUAAGAUUUACAUAUAAUGAAAAUUCAACUCAGUGACCUAGAGAUCAUCACAACAAUAUAUAAUUUUGGUUUUCAACUUGUAUUAAAUAGCUGUAAGGGUAUCAAAUUAACUUUCAUAUUUAUAUAGUAUAACACUGCAAUUUUAAAUUCUUUAGUAAAAUAAUAGGAGCGUGGUGUGGCACGGUGGUCACACUAGUUGUUGAAAAAACUCUAGUGUUAAGCCGCGUUUACCACCGUAGGUGAACGGAUGGGUGACCAUGCGUGCACUUCUAUGGUGGCGAAAAAGUACCAUGUUCCUAGUGCAGAAGGCAAUGGGAUACCUCUGCACUUAAAUUUCCCGAGGAUAUACCAAUGGUAUUAACCAACCUAACGGUUGUAAAAAAAGAAGUAAAAUAAUGUCAUAUAAAGGGAAAAUACAGGGUAAAAUAGUUAACAAUGGUGGCAUCAAUGUAACUAUGUAACUAGAAGAAAUUAAAAAUUGUUUUUUCAAUAUUGUAUUUCUUUUGUAAGAAAUCGAGUAAUUUAUGAUUAAUCGAUCAAUGUGUAUAUAUAUAUAUAUAUAGAUUUGUAGGAGAUGAAUAGAAACACAACAGUAUUUUCUCUUUUAAAAUAUUUUAACAAAUAAAUUAUAAUAUUACUACACAUAUACAAUAUGAAUCAUACAAAUAAAAGUUAUAAAGUAUUUACAAUAACAUAUAAAUUAAAUAAGCACAAAAAUAUGUCUUAGUCGACUCGCAACUCACUGUUAAAACAAGAUAUUACCGCUACUCACCUCCAUCCUCUUGAAGUGGUACCAGAUAUAAACAGUAUCCACAAUUCGAUCCUCUUCUUGAUUUCUCGUGACUGAGUGAUAGUUUUUCAGCUCUUAUCAUUUGUAUCUACUCGUUUCCAUGUAGUCAUCACCAGAUAAUAUCCAAAUGAGACCUUUAGAUUGAUCAUUUCAUAUAUUUCAGGUCCUCUGCAUUUGGUGAUUUGGUUUGGGCCCAAAAACUAUGAAUUUUAGAAAGUGACUUGAACUGUGUUCUCAAAAUAGUAACCAAAUCAACUAAAUGGUUAAAAUUUUGUGUGGCAUGAAAACAAAAAUUAUGAUAGUAAAAAUGAUAACUGAUUGAAUUUUUUACUCAAAAACCGCAAAAAAGAAUUGCAUAAUGGAAAUUUUGAUGACCUGGAUGACUCUGCUAUACUACCUUCUACAUCUGAAACUCAAAUUACUUUUUGAUCUUUGACUGUUAUCCGUUCAAAUUCAUCAGUAGUUAGAGGUCAAUUAGAGAUGAUUGAAAAUAGUGUAGUCCAAAUACCAUAUAAAUGUUUGUAGAAUUACAAGACUAUUCGUAGCACAUUAUGGUUACUUAAUAGGGAACCAAAAAAUCUUAAAUUCUAUUCUUGAAGAAUUGUGCAAAGUUCUUUGAAGAGGCUACAAAAGCAGUAAGCAGGAAAAUAUAUGUCUGCAUCACUUGUCAUUGUACUGUCUCGAGGUUUACUAAAAUGGAAGUACUGCCAACUGGAACAUGUACAUCUCGAGUAAUCAUCGAAGUUCAACUUUAUUUAAAAGAUUCUAUACUACAGAGAAAUAACGAUCCAUUAAAAUGAAGGAGUGAACACAGUUAUAACUACCCAUACCUAAAGUUGUUGGCAAAAAUGAUAUUGUGUUGUCUUUAUACAUAUAUACCAUGCAAAAAAUAGUAGUUCCCAUUAAAAAAAAUUUAUGUUUAGAUUUUUUAAGGGAUAAAAAAAAAGCUAUUUUUUCGUUAUUCAAAUUUGAUUAUUCAAAUCAAAUUUCAUUCUUUAUAAAAAUUUUAAAUUUUCAUUAGUUUCCAAAAAAAUUAGUGUCUUAUCCUUAAUUAAUCACUCUUUAUAUUAAAAAUAAAAUCCUAGAAAUUAGCUUAGAGUAUUUAUUGAAUGAUCUUAUUGGUAAAUAAUUUUAUUAAAACUAAAGAACAUAAAAAUUAAUAUAAAAAAUUAAAGAUAAGUUAUUGUUAACACUAUCUGUUUUUUCUAUUGAGAGAUAUACAUUUUUUUUUCCACUGAUAUACUAAAUAUUUUGUCAAAUCAUCCUUUUCAACACAAAACUCCCAUAAGUUAAUAAAGUAGAUAGUUUUUAUGAGCAGAUGGCUAAGUCAAAAGUGCUAGUUUUUCAGGAGACCCAAAAAAUAAAGUAAUUUUAUGUUUGGAUUAAUGGAACUUUUAAAUUUUAUAUUGCAAUAUAACAUAACUUAAUUACCUAAAGAAACAAUAUUGAUACUACUAAAAAUCAGUAAAAAAGUGCAAAUAAAAUUGAUAAAUAAUUUUAAAAUAAUAAAAUUCAACUUGACCACUUUCUGACAAAAUCCAUCCUAAUAAUAUAUUACAUUAUAAAUUGACUUCUAAAAUU
This is a long non-coding RNA of Daktulosphaira vitifoliae (grape phylloxera), 2906 nucleotides long. RefSeq lists it as uncharacterized. The transcript is spliced from 4 exons. Lineage: Eukaryota; Metazoa; Arthropoda; Insecta; Hemiptera; Phylloxeridae. The record is from RefSeq and is a predicted model, not a curated record.